UUUUUUUUUUUUAAUUUUUAAAAUCUUUUUUAAAAAAAGAUUUAUUUAUUUAUCUAUUAUUAUAUGUAAAUAUACACUGUAACUGUCUUUAGACACUCCAGAAGAGGUUGUCAGAUCUCGUUAUGGAUGGUUGUAAGCCACCAUGUGGUUGUUGGGAUUUGAACUCAGGACCUUUGGAAGAGCAGUCAGAGCUCUUAACCACUGAGCCAUCUUUCCAGCCCCGUUUCUUCCAUGCUCUUUUGUUUUGGCUUUGCACUCACCAGGACAUGACCCAGCUGUGUUCAUUCACACUGACUGAUACUCUGUGACAGUUUGUCCCAGAAGGCUGGUAGCCACUAAGACACUAAUGAAUGGGUAGUAUAUAGAGUGGGCACAUGUUGGACCAAGGGGUGAUCCAUGCUCUGGAUGGGAAGGGGGAAGAUUUCUUCACAUUUCUCAGAAUGAUGUGGGUGGAGGCUAAUGUUCAAGGUCAUCAUGACUGAGUUUGGGAUCCCCAGGAGACACACCUUGGGGACUCCAUUGAGAUGGACUGUCUCCUCUACACCAGUGAGCCCAAACAAACUGUCCCUUAAGUUGCUUUUAUCAGAUACUUAACUGUCACAGCAAUGAGAAAAGUAACCAGUGUAGUAUGUUUUAUUUGUUCAUUUUGGAUUUUUGGGAUAGGAUUUUGUCCUAGAACUCACUGUGUAGACCAGCCAUGCCCCUGCCUCUGCUUCCUGUUUUAUUGUUGAGACAAGCCCUCUACAUAAUUCUGGCUCGUCUAGAAAUCACUAUGUCGACCAGAAUAGCCUUGACCUCUGAUACACCUGCCUCUACCUCCUGAUUGCUGAAAUUAAAGGUGUGUAACACUACACCCACCAGGUUAAAGAUGUAUUUUUAUUUUAUAUAUGAGUGUUUUUUGCCUGCAUCCACAUCUGUGCACUGCAUCCAUGUAGUACCCACAGAGGCCAGAAGAGGGCAUUGGGUUGGAUUCUUAGAAACUGGAGGCUCCAGCAUAAAAAUUGUAAAACUUACAUUGUGAAUAGGUGUGUAUACAUGGGUCAAACAUAGCCUUUUGGGCGUGCUAAGUAAGAACAUAUAUAUAUAUAUACAUAUAUAUAUAUGUGUGUGUAUAUAUAUAUAUACAUAUAUGUAUACAUAUAUAUAUAUAUAUAUAUAUAUAUAUAUAUAUAUAUAUAUAUAUAUAUCUCCUCAGCCUAUUUUCAGAAUUAUCUAUUUAAUAUUUUCAGAUGGUUUGCCAUGGGUAACUGAAAUAACAGAAGGAAAUCCUUGCCUAGGGAAAGAGGACUACAGCUCAGUCUUCAGUGUGUUGGGAGCUGAUCCAGAUUUGUCCCAAAGUGUUUUUAACACAAGUCUAUGGUUGGUGAUUAAAGAUGGCUUUUCCUGUGAACUUUUUUACUGGGUAGAAUAUAUUAAUCAAGUCUGGGCCUUGGGGGAUGGUUCAGUCGUGGUUAAAGUGCUGGCUGCUUGAAGCUUGAGGGUCUAAGCCCCGAUUCCCAGUUGUGUUGGAAUAGCCAGGUACAGCAGGAUGUGGCUAUAACCACAAUGCUGUGAUUAGCCUAGUAGAAAGGGUUAAACUCUAGGUUCAGUGAGAUAAUCUGUCUCAAAAAAAGAUGGAGGGCUAGCACAUGCUCAGUCAGUAAAAGCUCUUCCCAGCAAACCUCAUGACCUGGGUUCAAUCUCUGAGACACAUGGGUGCGAGGAGAGAACUUAGUCCUGCAAGUUGUUUUCCAACGUAGGCAUGUGUAUUGUAAUUCCCCCUCUACCCAAGAUAAGUGUAAUAAUUGAUUUUUAAAAUGUAGAGCAAAAGAGGGGAACAAGAACACGGAUCUUGGGCCUCCAUGUACACAUUCAUAUAUGAGUAUAGUCAGAUCAAUAACUUUAAAUCACUUAAUAUUUUUAAAAAUUAAUUUC
RNAcentral lists this long non-coding RNA (1914 nucleotides) under Mus musculus (house mouse). Its description in RNAcentral is "long non-coding RNA chr9:109127474-109129388". The record is from RNAcentral. Lineage: Eukaryota; Metazoa; Chordata; Mammalia; Rodentia; Muridae.